Molecule: long non-coding RNA, 1404 nt
Filed under: Oncorhynchus mykiss (rainbow trout)
Lineage: Eukaryota; Metazoa; Chordata; Actinopteri; Salmoniformes; Salmonidae
Description: lncRNA (ENSOMYG00000069463.1)
Source: RNAcentral
AUGUUCUGCGUCUGGGGUGUAUAUUUAUGUUCUGGGUCUGGGGUGUAUAUUUAUGUUCUGGGGUCUGGGGUGUAUAUUUAUGUUCUGCGUCUGGGGUGUAUAUUUAUGUUCUGGGUCUGGGGUGUAUAUUUAUGUUCUGGGUCUAGGGUGUAUAUUUAUGUUCUGGGUCUAGGGUGUAUAUUUAUAUUCUGGGUCUGGGUGUAUAUUUAUGUUCUGAGUCUGGGGUGUAUAUUUAUGUUCUGGAUCUGGGGUGUAUAUUUAUGUUCUGGAUCUGGGGUGUAUAUUUAUGUUCUGGGUCUGGGGUGUAUAUUUAUGUUCUGGGGUGUAUAUUUAUGUUCUGGGUCUGGGGUGUAUAUUUAUGUUCUGGGUCUGGGGUGUAUAUUUAUGUUCUGGGGUCUGGGGUGUAUAUUUAUGUCCUGGAUCUGGGGUGUAUAUUUAUGUUCUGGGGUCUGGGGUGUAUAUUUAUGUUCUGGGGUCCGGGGUGUAUAUUUAUAUUCUGGGUCUGGGGUGUAUAUUUAUGGUCCUGGGUGUAUAUUUAUGUUCUGGGGACCAGGGUGUAUAUUUAUGUCCUUGAUCUGGGGUGUAUAUUUAUAUUCUGGGUCUGGGGUGUAUAUUUAUGUUCUGGGUCUGGGGUGUAUAUUUAUAUUUUGGGUCUGGGGUGUAUAUUUAUGUUCUGGGGUCUGGAGUGUAUAUUUAUGUUCUGUGGUGUAUAUUUAUGUUCUGGGUCUGGGGUGUAUAUUUAUGUUCUGGGGUCUAGAGUGUAUAUUUAUGUCCUGGGGUCUGGGGUGUAUAUUUAUGUCCUGGGGUCUGUGGUGUAUAUUUAUGUCCUGGGGUCUAGAGUGUAUAUUUAUGUUCUGGGUCUGGGGUGUAUAUUUAUGUUCUGGGUCUGGGGUGUAUAUUUAUGUUCUGGGUCUGGGGUGUAUAUUUAUGUUCUGGGGUCUGGGUGUAUAUUUAUGUUCUGGGUCUGGGGUGUAUAUUUAUGUUCUGGGGUCUGGGGUGUAUAUUUAUGUUCUGGGUCUGGGGUGUAUAUUUAUGUUCUGGGGUCUGGGGUGUAUAUUUAUGUUCUGGGUCUGGGGUGUAUAUUUAUGUUCUGGGUCUGGGGUGUAUAUUUAUGUUCUGGGGUCUGGGGUGUAUAUUUAUGUCCUGGAUCUGGGGUGUAUAUUUAUGUUCUGGGGUCUGGGGUGUAUAUUUAUGUUCUGGGGUCCGGGGUGUAUAUUUAUAUUCUGGGUCUGGGGUGUAUAUUUAUGGUCCUGGGUGUAUAUUUAUGUUCUGGGGACCAGGGUGUAUAUUUAUGUCCUUGAUCUGGGGUGUAUAUUUAUGUUCUGGGUCUGGGGUGUAUAUUUAUGUUCUGGGUCUGGGGUGUAUAUUUAUAUUCUGGGACUGGGGUGUAUGUUUAUGUGGUAG